GGGGGAGGCUUAAUGGCAAGUCGACGAAGCACUGAAAGCAGAUUACUNUCGGUUUGAAGCUUUCUUUGACUGAGUGGCGGACGGGUGAGUAACGCGUGGGUAACCUGCCUCAUACAGGGGGAUAACAGUUAGAAAUGACUGCUAAUACCGCAUAAGCGCACGGUUUCGCAUGGAACAGUGUGAAAAACUCCGGUGGUAUGGGAUGGACCCGCGUCUGAUUAGCUGGUUGGCGGGGUAACGGCCCACCAAGGCGACGAUCAGUAGCCGGCCUGAGAGGGUGAACGGCCACAUUGGGACUGAGACACGGCCCAAACUCCUACGGGAGGCAGCAGUGGGGAAUAUUGCACAAUGGGGGAAACCCUGAUGCAGCGACGCCGCGUGAAGGAAGAAGUAUUUCGGUAUGUAAACUUCUAUCAGCAGGGAAGAAAAUGACAGUACCUGACUAAGAAGCCCCGGCUAACUACGUGCCAGCAGCCGCGGUAAUACGUAGGGGGCAAGCGUUAUCCGGAUUUACUGGGUGUAAAGGGAGCGUAGGCGGUGCAGCAAGUCAGAAGUGAAAGCCCGGGGCUCAACUCCGGGACUGCUUUUGAAACUGUUGAACUAGAUUGCAGGAGAGGUAAGUGGAAUUCCUAGUGUAGCGGUGAAAUGCGUAGAUAUUAGGAGGAACACCAGUGGCGAAGGCGGCUUACUGGACUGUAAAUGACGCUGAGGCUCGAAAGCGUGGGGAGCAAACAGGAUUAGAUACCCUGG
RNAcentral lists this ribosomal RNA (750 nucleotides) under uncultured bacterium. Its description in RNAcentral is "bacterial SSU rRNA". It matches the Rfam family "Bacterial small subunit ribosomal RNA", at positions 38 to 790 of the family's 1533-position model. The record is from RNAcentral.